CAUACGUCAGAUGAAUCACGAGGUGCUCCAUAGAAUCAAAGAAGCUGGGGAGAAUAUCUUCUCCAAUAUGUAUAUGGUCUCUAUACUACUAGUCUCAAGACUGGAGAUGUGAUCGGUGGAUAGUUCGAUAGCAUAAAUAUAUAUAAAUAGAAGGCUAAGCUCGAUCAAAGAACUCUAUAUAGAGUUGGAAAGAAGAUCACGCCAAGCCAAUGGGAGUAAUUGUUGCAUGAAUACAGAGCAGUCAUGGCUCUUUAGCCCAUAAAACCUGCAAUCUUUGACAUUGACG
RNAcentral lists this long non-coding RNA (286 nucleotides) under Elaeis guineensis (African oil palm). Its description in RNAcentral is "long non-coding RNA (EGUI_LNC013457)". The record is from RNAcentral. Lineage: Eukaryota; Viridiplantae; Streptophyta; Magnoliopsida; Arecales; Arecaceae.